This 508-nucleotide long non-coding RNA is filed under the name Olea europaea (common olive). RNAcentral's name for it is "long non-coding RNA (OEUR_LNC005060)". The record is from RNAcentral. Lineage: Eukaryota; Viridiplantae; Streptophyta; Magnoliopsida; Lamiales; Oleaceae.
ACAAAUCAUCUAAUUAGUGAUCAAGUAAUUAAAUGUAUUAAGAACAAUAUUAAAAUCAACACAUGAAAUAAAAAAGUACUAGAAUCUCAAUUGCAUGAAAUAAAGGGUUCCAAAAGAUUACAUUGUUCGCCCUAACAUGAAAUUUAACUACUCAUAAUAAUGGAAGAAAAAUAUGAGAUUGUCUUAGAAUACAUCACCGAGUUUGAAAUAAAGAUGUGGAAGAAAAAAUGGAAUUCUUGCACCAAGAUCUCCUUCCUCUUCCAAUGAGUGCUUCCAAUCUUCAAUUCUUGGUGUUAAUCUUCUUAAAUUUCUCCCUUGAAUCUCCCUUCUUGUUGUUUUUCUCUCCAAUAUGUCCAGAACCCUUCAAAAGUAUGAGGAGGAUGUAUUUAUAUGUGCCUCCACGUUUUUCUCUUGAAGUAGGGUUUCUAUGGCUUUAAAAACGGCCCAAAAAAAAACGCGCCCUAAAUCGCCAAUCGCAGCGCCUAGGCGCUGGCUGUAGCGCCUGGGC